This 256-nucleotide ribosomal RNA is filed under the name uncultured bacterium. Its description in RNAcentral is "partial 16S ribosomal RNA". It matches the Rfam family "Bacterial small subunit ribosomal RNA", at positions 524 to 776 of the family's 1533-position model. The record is from RNAcentral.
UACGGAGGGUGCAAGCGUUGUUCGGAAUUAUUGGGCGUAAAGGGCAAGUAGGUGGUCUUGUAAGUCUACUGUGAAAUCCCUGGGCUUAACCCAGGAAGUGCGGUGGAUACUGCAAGACUAGAGUGCUGGAGGGGUACGUGGGAAUUCCCGGUGUAGCGGUGAAAUCGCGUAGAUAUCAGGAAGAACACCUAUGGCGAAGGCAGCUCUCUGGGGACGGUACUGACGCUGAGACGCGAAAGCGUGGGGAGCGAACAGG